GGGCCGUUAGCUUAGUUGGUAGAGCGCCUCGUUUGCAACGAGGAGGUCACCGGUUCGAAUCCGGUACGGUCCACCG
This 76-nucleotide transfer RNA is filed under the name bacterium. Its description in RNAcentral is "tRNA-Ala". It matches the Rfam family "tRNA". Rfam says of the family: Transfer RNA (tRNA) molecules are approximately 80 nucleotides in length. Their secondary structure includes four short double-helical elements and three loops (D, anti-codon, and T loops). The record is from RNAcentral.